UGGGUGAUCUGCCCUGCACUUCGGGAUAAGCCUGGGAAACUGGGUCUAAUACCGGAUAUGACCUUGGGAUGCAUGUCCUUUGGUGGAAAGCUUUUGCGGUGUGGGAUGGGCCCGCGGCCUAUCAGCUUGUUGGUGGGGUUAAGGCCUACCAAGGCGACGACGGGUAGCCGGCCUGAGAGGGUGAUCGGCCACACUGGGACUGAGACACGGCCCAGACUCCUACGGGAGGCA
RNAcentral lists this ribosomal RNA (231 nucleotides) under uncultured bacterium. RNAcentral's name for it is "partial 16S ribosomal RNA". It matches the Rfam family "Bacterial small subunit ribosomal RNA", at positions 118 to 350 of the family's 1533-position model. The record is from RNAcentral.